This 368-nucleotide ribosomal RNA is filed under the name uncultured beta proteobacterium. Its description in RNAcentral is "bacterial SSU rRNA". It matches the Rfam family "Bacterial small subunit ribosomal RNA", at positions 399 to 762 of the family's 1533-position model. Lineage: Bacteria; Pseudomonadati; Pseudomonadota; Betaproteobacteria. The record is from RNAcentral.
GCGUGCAGGAAGAGGCUUCGGGUUGUAACCGCUUUUGUACGGAACGAAACGGUCUGCUUUAAUACAGUGGGCUAAUGACGGUACCGUAAGAAUAAGCACCGGCUAACUACGUGCCAGCAGCCGCGGUAAUACGUAGGGUGCGAGCGUUAAUCGGAAUUACUGGGCGUAAAGCGUGCGCAGGCGGUUAUAUAAGACAGAUGUGAAAUCCCCGGGCUCAACCUGGGAACUGCAUUWGAGACUGUAUAGCUAGAGUACGGUAGAGGGGGAUGGAAUUCCGCGUGUAGCAGUGAAAUGCGUAGAUAUGCGGAGGAACACCGAUGGCGAAGGCAAUCCCCUGGACCUGUACUGACGCUCAUGCACGAAAGCGU